This 429-nucleotide ribosomal RNA is filed under the name Acidobacteriota bacterium. RNAcentral describes it as "Acidobacteria bacterium partial 16S ribosomal RNA". It matches the Rfam family "Bacterial small subunit ribosomal RNA", at positions 355 to 776 of the family's 1533-position model. The record is from RNAcentral. Lineage: Bacteria; Pseudomonadati; Acidobacteriota.
UGGGGAAUUUUGGACAAUGGGGGAAACCCUGAUCCAGCCAUCCCGCGUGUGCGAUGAAGGCCUUCGGGUUGUAAAGCACUUUUGGCAGGAAAGAAACGUCAUGGGUUAAUACCCCGUGAAACUGACGGUACCUGCAGAAUAAGCACCGGCUAACCACGUGCCAGCAGCCGCGGUAAUACGUAGGGUGCAAGCGUUAAUCGGAAUUACUGGGCGUAAAGCGUGCGCAGGCGGUUCGGAAAGAAAGAUGUGAAAUCCCAGAGCUCAACUUUGGAACUGCAUUUUUAACUACCGGGCUAGAGUGUGUCAGAGGGAGGUUGAAUUCCGCGUGUAGCAGUGAAAUGCGUAGAUAUGCGGAGGAACACCGAUGGCGAAGGCAGCCUCCUGGGAUAACACUGACGCUCAUGCACGAAAGCGUGGGGAGCAAACAGC